CCGCCGAGCCCGGCUGCCGGGCGUGCGCGGCUCGCGGAGCAGGUGCCGGCGAGCCUCGCUCAUGCGGCUGCCCGGCCCGAGGUGGUAGCGGCGCCCGCGCGCUCCGCCCGCCGCUUCUGGGCCGCACUCGGCUCCGGCGCGGGACCAUGUCUCUGGUGACUGGUGGCAGCGAGGCGGCCGGCGGCGGAGCCGGCAGCGGCGGCGGCGGCGGCGGCGCGCGGGUUUUCUUCCAGAGCCCCCGGGGCGGCGCCGGCAGCAGCCCCUGCUCCGGCAACAGCUCAGGCUCCUCCCGGGAGGACUCGGCGCCCGAGGUCGCGGCGGCCGCUGCCGGGCAGGUUCAGGAGCCGCAGCCCCAGCAGCAGCAGCGGCGCCACCAGCAGGGAAAAGUGACGGUGAAAUAUGACCGCAAGGAGCUUCGCAGGCGGCUGGUGCUGGAGGAGUGGAUCGUGGAGCAGCUGGGUCAGCUGUACGGCUGCGAGGAAGAAGAAAUGCCAGAUGUAGAAAUUGACAUUGACGAUCUUCUUGAUGCAGACAGUGAGGAAGAGAGAGCUUCAAAAUUACAGGAAGCUCUUGUAGACUGCUACAAGCCAACGGAGGAAUUUAUCAAAGAGCUCCUCUCUCGGAUAAGAGGCAUGCGGAAACUGAGCCCUCCACAGAAGAAGAGCGUAUGAUUCUGGAUCAGGGCGGAGUUCUCCGGAGACGAAGACAGGGUUCUGGGAUGUAGACUCCAUGACGACUUUUGUUAAAGAAUAGUUGUCCUUAAGAACAAGUGGUUUGGUUUGUUUUUUUGUUUGUUUGUUUUUUGUUUUGUUUUUGUUUUUUUUUUGGUGUGCAGGGGAAUCUUCUACACAUUUAUUCAAGAUCGUUGCUGUUGCUGUUUUUAAAGGUUUUUGAUAGUGUAAUAUUUUAAUAGCCAAGAUAUCAUGACUCUAACUACAGCCCAGCCAAGGAUUAUCAAAGCAGGUGGACAUUCAGAGACGGGCCAGGGCAGGCAGCAUUUUCUGCAAGGACUCAGGCGUUCAGGACCUUACUCCACAGAGAAGAUGGUUUUCUUACAGCUAAUUUGGGAAUACUUUUUUCUUAUAUUGUACAUCUGACUCACAGGUCAAAUUUCUCAUACUUGUAUAUAUCUACACACCAGUCAUUUAAGAUGUCGCUGUGAGCUUCAUUUCACAUUGACGGAAUAAACUCCUUGCCGUCCCUUAGUGGGAGGUCACUGGGCUGUUCUUCCCGUCCGUGCAGCUGACCCUCAACAUUCACUCUGUGCACCAAAGUGAAAGAAUUCGGAGUAUCCGUUAUUCUCACGCGCUCCGCUACGACAACGUUGAGUUGGUCAAGGGCUUCAUUUAUGGACUUUGUAUUAUUUCAUUGGUUGGGAUGCUUUGCCAGGUCAUGUGCUUAUUGCCUCAUUUGUGGUCUUUUACAGUUUUAUGAACCCUUUGUUUGAAGAACGAACUUGAUUUCUAGAGAAAUGCCCACGCUCUCAGAGCAGUGUUUUGCAGCAGAAGGGGAAGCAUGGGAUAGCAUUGAAUUCUCCGCUUUCAACCAAAUACUGGGUGUUGUUCCCUCUCCCUGAAAGCAGAUCAAAAAGUGGUUACCAAGGCAGUGUGUUCUUCCUCUGACGCAGUCUGGUCCCUCCUGAGCCUGGGUGGCACCAGACUGGGAGUGAGACCUCAGGGCUGGACAGGUGGAGGAGUGACAAGACCGCUAGUACGGCACCAUUUGCUGAUUUGGAAGCACGGAGAUUCCAUUUCCAUGGCUUAUGGUGAGAGCUUUGGGGGGGGGGGGGGUCCUGGCCCUAAUUAUGCACCCCUGUCCCCAUGCUCAGAGCCAGGCCUGAGCACAGCCCAAAGUUGAAUUCAGCUGGGAUGUGGGCGGAGUCAAAGGUAAGAGAAGAAACUCUUCUUUCAGGUGGCCCCUGCUGUUUCCCCUGGAAACCCCACCUGCUCUAAGGUGUCUCUGGGUGGCCCUGUCUGAGCACAGGGGUCAAGCAUUUUCUAUCAAGGGUGCUCUGAACAUAUUUUAUUUUUUAAAAGAACUAUGUUUGUGAAUUUUACGUAUACUGGCAAGCUUUUGAAAAUGUAUUUAAUUUUGUAAUGUUUACCAAUGAUUUAUUUACAAGCUACUUACUGAAAUAAAUGGAGCUGCUUACUGA
Molecule: long non-coding RNA, 2155 nt
Organism: Oryctolagus cuniculus (rabbit)
Lineage: Eukaryota; Metazoa; Chordata; Mammalia; Lagomorpha; Leporidae
Product: protein phosphatase 1 regulatory subunit 14C
Source: RefSeq, a predicted model, not a curated record